Molecule: ribosomal RNA, 430 nt
Filed under: uncultured bacterium
Lineage: Bacteria
Description: bacterial SSU rRNA
Rfam family: Bacterial small subunit ribosomal RNA
Source: RNAcentral
GUGGGGAAUAUUGCGCAAUGGGCGAAAGCCUGACGCAGCGACGCCGCGUGGAGGAUGAAGGUUUUCGGAUCGUAAACUCCUGUCAGGUGGGAAGAAAAAUUCUUUUAUAAUACAAAAGAGUUAUGACGGUACCACCAGAGGAAGCACCGGCUAACUUCGUGCCAGCAGCCGCGGUAAUACGAGGGGUGCUAGCGUUAUUCGGAAUUAUUGGGCGUAAAGGGUGCGUAGACGGCACAUUAAGUCUGUUGUUAAAUCCUCCGGCCUAACCGGAGAACUGCGGUGGAAACUGAUGAGCUUGAGGGUGAGAGAGAGAAGUGGAAUUCCCGGAGUAGCGGUAAAAUGCGUGGAUCUCGGGAGGAACACCAAUGGCGAAGGCAGCUUCUUGGCUCAUUUCUGACGUUGAGGCACGAAAGCGUGGGGAGCAAACAGG